Molecule: microRNA precursor, 187 nt
Filed under: Oryza brachyantha (malo sina)
Lineage: Eukaryota; Viridiplantae; Streptophyta; Magnoliopsida; Poales; Poaceae
Description: MIR812 microRNA precursor family
Rfam family: MIR812 microRNA precursor family
Source: Rfam by way of RNAcentral
AAUAAGACCAUUUUUCAGUUUUUUAUAUAAUGUUUUGACUCUUCGUCUUAUUUAAAAUUUUUUUACGAUUAAUAUUUUUAUUUUUACUAGAUGAUAAAAUAUAAAUAGUACUUUAUACAUGACUAUUUUUUUUUAAAUUUUCGUACAAAAUUUUUAAAUAAGAGGGUCAAACGUUGGAUUUAGAAAA